UACGAGGGGGGCGAGCGUUGUUCGGAAUUAUUGGGCGUAAAGAGCUCGUAGGCGGUGUGUCGCGUCGGCCGUGAAAACCUGCAGCUUAACUGUGGGCUUGCGGUCGAUACGGGCAUCACUGGAGUUCGGCAGGGGAGACUGGAAUUCCUGGUGUAGCGGUGAAAUGCGCAGAUAUCAGGAGGAACACCGGUGGCGAAGGCGGGUCUCUGGGCCGAUACUGACGCUGAGGAGCGAAAGCGUGGGGAGCGAACAGG
This 254-nucleotide ribosomal RNA is filed under the name uncultured bacterium. RNAcentral describes it as "partial 16S ribosomal RNA". It matches the Rfam family "Bacterial small subunit ribosomal RNA", at positions 524 to 776 of the family's 1533-position model. The record is from RNAcentral.